Molecule: ribosomal RNA, 465 nt
Filed under: Vreelandella stevensii
Lineage: Bacteria; Pseudomonadati; Pseudomonadota; Gammaproteobacteria; Oceanospirillales; Halomonadaceae
Description: partial 16S ribosomal RNA
Rfam family: Bacterial small subunit ribosomal RNA
Source: RNAcentral
CCUACGGGAGGCUGCCGUGGGGAAUAUUGGACAAUGGGCGAAAGCCUGAUCCAGCCAUGCCGCGUGUGUGAAGAAGGCCUUCGGGUUGUAAAGCACUUUCAGUGGGGAAGAAAGCCUUGGGGCUAAUACCCUCGAGGAAGGACAUCACCCACAGAAGAAGCACCGGCUAACUCCGUGCCAGCAGCCGCGGUAAUACGGAGGGUGCGAGCGUUAAUCGGAAUUACUGGGCGUAAAGCGCGCGUAGGCGGUCUGAUAAGCCGGUUGUGAAAGCCCCGGGCUCAACCUGGGAACGGCAUCCGGAACUGUCAGGCUAGAGUGCAGGAGAGGAAGGUAGAAUUCCCGGUGUAGCGGUGAAAUGCGUAGAGCUCGGGAGGAAUACCAGUGGCGAAGGCGGCCUUCUGGACUGACACUGACGCUGAGGUGCGAAAGCGUGGGUAGCAAACAGGAUUAGAUACCCCAGUAGUC